This is a long non-coding RNA of Syngnathoides biaculeatus (alligator pipefish), 818 nucleotides long. RefSeq lists it as uncharacterized. NCBI's taxonomy places the organism in Eukaryota, Metazoa, Chordata, Actinopteri, Syngnathiformes, Syngnathidae. The record is from RefSeq and is a predicted model, not a curated record. The transcript has 3 exons.
CUGUGACGUCACUUUUGGUCCUAAGAAGGUAAACAACAACGACAAGAAGAAGAAGACGAAAAAUGUUGGGACUACGUGGACGUGUUCGGCACCGCGCAGCCCGACGAGCCCGGACCGCACCCAGCGUCGCCGGCAGAACCACUCGGAGCUCCGCCAGGGGCAGCGGCGACAGAACGCGGCCGAGCUUCCGGAGCUCUUCCUCGAACACUGGCAGCGUUGAGUUCUGACCUGCGAUGGGUGUGGAACAUCGUUAAGGAACCGAACCGGUUUGGGACACGACGUUGUCGGCGUCCGGGCGGGGUCCACGGCCCUCCCUCGAACCAUCACGGCGGACGCGGCCGGCGGCGCCUCUCGACGGACAAGCACUCGCAGAUAAAUUUUCUGUCACUUUUAACGAUUUGAGAGAAAAAUCUGAGAAGUAAACCCCCUGCCUCCUGUUUUAUAAUUUUUUUUUGUAUACAUGAUUUUUAUAAUCUCAUGAAGUUUGCAUAGUUUUUCAUUUAAAGCCCCACUGUCAUGAAAUGCAUGAUUUUUAGUAGGUUAUUAAUGGAGAAAAAAAAAGCACCCGGAAUGGACCCAUCUGUUUUUUUUCACCACACAACACGAUUUUGACAGAUAUGGCUUUUUGUCACUCCCGCCAUGAAAAUCCUCUCGAGGGAUUUGUUUUCGAGAAGAAGCAGGAAGUGACGUUAGUAGCAGACGUCCACUCUGGUGGUCUCGUAUGUUUCUACUAGUUUUACCUGCUGGAAGGUAGCUAGCUCGUUGUUCUUUCGUGUUACCCAAAAUGCCGGCUCGUUGUAUUGCUGGGUAUAGUUUGA